AGGCUUUUUUUCUUUUGGGACCUCUGAUCUUCCUGACAUCCUUCAGGACUUUUGUGCAACUGAAAAGAGCAAGUAGAAAAGUCUAGACCUAAUUGCUAAGUAAAAUGUGGCAAGGCUUUACAAUACAGAGCACAGUGAAGUGUUACAACAGCCUGCAGAUCAGAACAGAACAGGAAGGGAUCUCCAAAAUGCAGGACUGAAAUAUAUUGCUUCACAGCCAGAGUUUAAGAAUAACCAGACAAUCUUGAAAACCUCAACAUCACACAAUCUUGAAAACCAUCAACACCCCUCAAACUGCCUGGUGCUGAAUCACAUCCCAGUUUUUGAAUGUAAAAAUAUGUAGUCAAAGCAAUUUAAGCAUUAUUUGGAUGAAGAAGUACUUCAGGAAAAAAAAAAUGUGUUAAGGUUAAUUGAAUGCUAAUCUUCCAUCCACAUUUCUUUGACAUCCAGACACAUGGGUAAACGAGGCACAGACAAAUAAGAUCCAACAGAAACUACAUGAGUCAGGUGAAUUAUGUACAAGAUUUUCCCAAAGGCAUUCCACAGGAGUGAAGAACAGCAGAAUGGGAACUUUGAAUUGUUGCUUCAGACUGCUGGCAGCUUCACAAUAGUUGACCCACUUGUGUCUUAAGCAGGAGUUAACUUAUCAAAUAUACAAUAUGCAUGCAAACCUGUACAUGCUGCAGCUAUAUCUUCAUAUUCUUCACAUUAUUCUUGUUUUAUGUACAUCCUUAAUGCAGCAAACAACAGUUAGAUAUGCAAACCUCCAUGAUAACAGCAUAAAGCAACCUCAAUGUAGAUGCUUCCACUGAAGCAAAUAGCAAAACACACCUUGAUUCAAGCGACAAGCAGCUUAGUGCAACGCUUUGUAUGAAAAAUGAAAGGGAAUUUUAUCAUGGUGGGUUGCUGGGUUGUUUUGGGUUUUUUUUCAGUAUUAAUAUUUUCUUUAAGAAAUCCCAAAAUAUGUUAUGCCUUAAGACCAGCAUCUA
Neopsephotus bourkii (Bourke's parrot) is the source of this 989-nucleotide long non-coding RNA. RefSeq lists it as uncharacterized. NCBI's taxonomy places the organism in Eukaryota, Metazoa, Chordata, Aves, Psittaciformes, Psittacidae. The record is from RefSeq and is a predicted model, not a curated record. The transcript is spliced from 3 exons.